ACGGCACACACUAGGGUCUCCGUCUCUCACACACACACACCACAAUGACGUCGUAAACAAUAGCACUAACCACCAUCGUCCGCAGCUCCCGCGUACAGAGGCCUCAGGCUCCCGGCUCCACGUGGACCGACCUCGCCCGGCAGCGCGGGGCCACCUCACCGCGAGCUCCUCCCGCAGCCCGGCCCGGGUCACCUCGACUCGCCAGGCUUAACUCAAUAACCACAACACCGGAAAAGGAAGCAAAGGUCGAAGUUCAUCCGCGGCCCUGAGGCCUGUGGGAAACGUAGUCCAACAACGAAAGAGCCCUGAAGCUCAAGCGGAGCCCGCUGGCCGCAGGGGCCGCACCACGCCCCAGACCCUGGAGUUUCCGGGUGCGCAGACCCUUGCCAUCAGCAGAGGCUGCCGCUGCGCGUCCCCUAGGCGCGGAAGAGGCGGCUGGUGGUCCCUGACGGCAAGGUGAAGUCGAGGCAGUAAUCGGGAACCCAGGUUUUAUACAUUACGAAUAAAGCUGGCACGUUUCCAUUUCUCCUGGGCAAAUAUUUAGAAGAAAAGUUGCUGGGUAAUUGGUGGAGACAAGGUUUCGCCACAUUGACUGGGCUGGUCUGGAACUCCUGAGCUCAAGCAACCGGCCCUCCUUGACCUCCCAAAGUGCUAGGAUUACAGGUGUGAACCACCGUGCCCGGCCCUACUUUCUAUCGAAGUAGAAUAGGUAGAUCACAUUAUUAUUAACAGUAUAUGGGAAGAGGGAGGUCCUCCCAUGUUACAUUGUUCUCCCUUCACCUUCUGGGUCAUGUUGCACCACUGUUUCCCUUCUAGUCAUAUCCCAGGGGGCCUUGUCCCAUUUAUACAGCUCUAUUCUAGUGGUCACCAGAGGAAUGGGAGUAAUCUGAUUGAAAGAUAAGACAGAAGAUUGUACUCUCUUUUUUUUUUUUUUGAGACAGAGUCACCCAGGCUGGAAUGCAGUGGCAUUGUCAUGGCUCACCGCAGUCUCAAACUCCUGGGCCCAAGUGAUCCUCCCACUCAGCCUCCUGAGUAGCUGGGACUAGAGGCACAUGCAACCACAUGCAGCUAUUUUUUUUUAAAUUUUCUGUAGAGACAGGGUCUCACUGUGUUGCUCAGUUUGUCUCAAACUCCUGGGCUCAAGUGAUCCUCCUGCCUUGGCCUCACAAAGUACUAGGAUUACAGGCAUGAGUCACCACACUCAGCUGAACUCUACUCUUUAUGUUCAGGAAAGCACUGGAGAAGAGAGAGGACAAGAGAAACAGGUCCGUAGUGACAGGAGCCUAGGAAUAGAGCAGGCCUUCAGUCUUGGUGAAAAAAUAAAUGGUAUUCUAAGCCUUCCUUUGGACAUUAAUUCAGUACUACCCACUCUUUUUCUCUUGUCCAUUCCUCCCUUAUAUUUUUUUUAUAAAAUGAAGAACUCAAUCCCUUAUUUUUUUUUUCUAUCCUUCAAGUGAAGGGCAAGAACAAAGAGUGUGGGGGAGAUUUUUUUUUUUUUUUUUUUUUUGAGACGGAGUCUUAACUCUGUCACCCAGGCUGGAGUGCAGUGGUGCUAUCUCGGCUCACUGCAACCUCCGCCUCCCAGGUUCAAGCGAUCCUCCUGCCUCAGCCUCCCAAGUAGCUGGGACUACAGGCCUGCGCCACCGCACGCAGCUAAUUUUUUGUAUUUUUAGUAGAGACGAGGUUUCAACAUGUUGGACAG
RNAcentral lists this long non-coding RNA (1702 nucleotides) under Homo sapiens (human). RNAcentral's name for it is "PREDICTED lncRNA (TCONS_00132680)". The record is from RNAcentral. Lineage: Eukaryota; Metazoa; Chordata; Mammalia; Primates; Hominidae.